AUGGCUUCUCAGGCUGUGGGCUAAUCAAUGGAGACUGAAGAAUGCACUGUUCUGUCUAUACAAUUUCUUGUCUCAAGUUUGUUAAUGAUGCCCCCAACUAAAACAAUAUGCACAUCAGGUCUCAGUCCGUUAUGUGUCAAUAACCCAACAGGAAACAACACUGACCUUUCGCUACCAGGCAGCAUUCAAUAGCUCCAGGAGGUCCAACUAACAGUGGUGACCCAGGUGGCCCAGGAAGUCCAAUGUCGCCCUGUGGAAGCCAAAGGAACAGCAGAGAGGCAUUCUGUUCCAUGCAGCAUUUCGGUGGCCUUGGGGAAAGUGAAUGAGGAGAGAGCACUAGCAGCAUUCUGCAUGACUGCAGACUGCCAGGAUGAAACGUGUUUGCACAGGCAAGAGAAGGAACAACAUAUGCUCCAA
Molecule: long non-coding RNA, 417 nt
Organism: Egretta garzetta (little egret)
Lineage: Eukaryota; Metazoa; Chordata; Aves; Pelecaniformes; Ardeidae
Exons: 4
Source: RefSeq, a predicted model, not a curated record